UACGGGAGGCAGCAGUGGGGAAUAUUGCACAAUGGGCGAAAGCCUGAUGCAGCUAUGCCGCGUGUAUGAAGAAGGCCUUAGGGUUGUAAAGUACUUUCAUCGGGGAGGAAAAACAAAACUAAUAAUUUUAUUUCUUGACGUUACCCGAAAAAGAAGCACCGGCUAACUCCGUGCCAGCAGCCGCGGUAAUACGGAGGGUGCUAGCGUUAAUCAGAAUUACUGGGCGUAAAGAGCACGUAGGUGGUUUUUUAAGUCAGAUGUGAAAUCCCUGGGCUUAACCUAGGAACUGCAUUUUGAAACUGAAAUACUAGAGUAUCGUAGAGGGAGGUAGAAUUCUAGGUGUAGCGGUGAAAUGCGUAGAUAUCUGGAGGAAUACCUGUGGCGAAAGCGGCCUCUUAAACGAUACUGACACUGAGGUGCGAAAGCGUGGGGAGCAAACAGGGAUUAGAUACC
Molecule: ribosomal RNA, 453 nt
Filed under: uncultured bacterium
Lineage: Bacteria
Description: bacterial SSU rRNA
Rfam family: Bacterial small subunit ribosomal RNA
Source: RNAcentral